This 248-nucleotide long non-coding RNA is filed under the name Lupinus angustifolius (narrow-leaved blue lupine). RNAcentral's name for it is "long non-coding RNA (LANG_LNC003503)". The record is from RNAcentral. Lineage: Eukaryota; Viridiplantae; Streptophyta; Magnoliopsida; Fabales; Fabaceae.
CCUAUAAAUAGGAGUACCCACCAACAGGAAGUAUCUUAACCUCAACUCCUAGACUCUCUAAUAUUAUUCUUCUUGUCACUCACUCUCUACUUCAUAUACUGACUUGAUCGUCGGAGAGCCUUUUCAGGUACCUCCACCGGCGGGUCCAACUCUUUGCUGCCUUCAGUCACCUUGACGACCGCUUCCUACCUCUUCAUCAACAUCUGACUCAUCAUUGUCCGUACUCUUGUGUUCUGAUAAAGAACAAU